This 200-nucleotide unclassified non-coding RNA is filed under the name soil metagenome. Its description in RNAcentral is "partial contains internal transcribed spacer 2 and large subunit ribosomal RNA". The record is from RNAcentral.
UGGGGGCUUGCUGCCGUGAGGCGGCUCCCCUCAAAUGCAUCGGUUGGGCCUGUGGGUCGAACUCGUCUGGGUGUUGUAUCAACCUCGCUCUAAUGAGAUGUUCCCCUUCCGUGCCCAACUCCGACCUGCCUUUGGAGUGGCGGUCAAGCUAAACUUUGAAAUCUGACCUCAAAUCAGGUAGGACUACCCGCUGAACUUAA